This 192-nucleotide ribosomal RNA is filed under the name uncultured Enterococcus sp. Its description in RNAcentral is "partial 16S ribosomal RNA". It matches the Rfam family "Bacterial small subunit ribosomal RNA", at positions 338 to 524 of the family's 1533-position model. The record is from RNAcentral. Lineage: Bacteria; Bacillati; Bacillota; Bacilli; Lactobacillales; Enterococcaceae.
CCUACGGGAGGCAGCAGUAGGGAAUCUUCGGCAAUGGACGAAAGUCUGACCGAGCAACGCCGCGUGAGUGAAGAAGGUUUUCGGAUCGUAAAACUCUGUUGUUAGAGAAGAACAAGGAUGAGAGUAACUGUUCAUCCCUUGACGGUAUCUAACCAGAAAGCCACGGCUAACUUCUCCAGCAGCCGCGGUAAU